Molecule: ribosomal RNA, 753 nt
Filed under: Pleurotus sp. BAB-5008
Lineage: Eukaryota; Fungi; Basidiomycota; Agaricomycetes; Agaricales; Pleurotaceae
Description: eukaryotic LSU rRNA
Rfam family: 5.8S ribosomal RNA (bases 282-435)
Source: RNAcentral
UUUCCGUAGGUGAACCUGCGGAAGGAUCAUUAAUGAAUUACAAAAGCUUUUGAAGUUGUUUUGCUGGUCUCUAGGGACAUUGUGCACGCUUCAUUAGUUUCCACUUCAUACCCCUGUGCACCUUUGAUAGAUUUCGGUUUGGGUUAUCCUUUGGUUUUUUUUCUUAAUUGAAAGGCCUUUGGUUUCCUUAAAACGACUUCUAUACUAUACCACACACCAAAUGUAUGUUUUAUAAUGAAUGGUUUAUAAUGACAAGGCCAUGAGCCUUAUAAACUUAAUACAACUUUCAACAUCGGAUCUCUUGGCUCUCGCAUCGAUGAAGAACGCAGCGAAAUGCGAUAAGUAAUGUGAAUUGCAGAAUUCAGUGAAUCAUCGAAUCUUUGAACGCACCUUGCGCCCUUUGGUAUUCCGAAGGGCAUGCCUGUUUGAGUGUCAUUAAAUUCUCAAACUCUAUGACUUUAUUGUUGUAGCUGUUUGGAUUGUUGGGGGUUGCUGGCUUCUUUCUUUGAAGUCGGCUCCUCUUAAAUGCAUUAGCGGGACUUUGUUGCCUCUGCGCAUAGUGUGAUAAUUAUCUACGCUAGACGCAUGCAAUUCUUAUAUUGUCCAGCUUUCUAAUCGUCUCAAGGGACAAUUACUUUGACAAUUUGACCUCAAAUCAGGUAGGACUACCCGCUGAACUUAAGCAUAUCAAUAAGCGGAGGAAAAGAAACUAACAAGGAUUCCCCUAGUAACUGCAGGAAAAAGGGGGAAAAA